GAUGAACGCUGGCGGCGUGCCUAACACAUGCAAGUCGAACGGAGUCCAGCCUUAGAGACCUUCGGGUCAAAGAGGGGAAGACUGAGUGGCGGACGGGUGAGUAACACGUGGGCAACCUGGCUCAUAGAGGGGGAUAACAGAGAGAAAUUUCUGCUAAUACCGCAUAAGCACACACUGCCGCAUGGCAGAGGGUGAAAAGAGAAUCGCUAUGAGAUGGACCCGCGUCUGAUUAGCCAGUUGGCAGGGUAAGAGCCUACCAAAGCGACGAUCAGUAGCCGAUCUGAGAGGAUGAACGGCCACAUUGGGACUGAGACACGGCCCAAACUCCUACGGGAGGCAGCAGUGGGGGAUAUUGCACAAUGGGGGGAACCCUGAUGCAGCGACGCCGCGUGAGUGAAGAAGUAUUUCGGUAUGUAAAGCUCUAUCAGCAGGGAAGAUAAUGACAGUACCUGAAUAAGAAGCC
Molecule: ribosomal RNA, 463 nt
Filed under: Oribacterium sp. oral taxon 372
Lineage: Bacteria; Bacillati; Bacillota; Clostridia; Lachnospirales; Lachnospiraceae
Description: bacterial SSU rRNA
Rfam family: Bacterial small subunit ribosomal RNA
Source: RNAcentral